RNAcentral lists this long non-coding RNA (38895 nucleotides) under Triticum aestivum (bread wheat). RNAcentral describes it as "long non-coding RNA (TAES_LNC017304)". Lineage: Eukaryota; Viridiplantae; Streptophyta; Magnoliopsida; Poales; Poaceae. The record is from RNAcentral.
AUGGUCGAGUUUCAUUCAUGGGUCCCGGGUCAGCAACCGCCUGUGUGGAAUCUGGUCGCCACACGGCGGUCCGAGAGCUUGGUGUUUGACUGUGCCGUCAUGGGUUGCUGAGAUAGUCAAUCCACUGAAUAAAGAUUGAACGCAUGCAGUGGAUGCUUAUGAAUAAAGAUUCUGCCCAGUUUCAGACCUUAUCAAUUGGGCACCUGAUGGGCGGCAGCAGCCGUCUCUUGUGUAGUAUGUGUAUGUCUAGCGCUAUGUUUUCUCGCAAGUUUCUUUGUAUCAUCGAACCAACCCCCUGUAAGGUGAAAACUAUGAAUAUAUGCAUCUGAUUGAUAAGGUUGAUUUUGCAUCGUCCUUCUGUUGUUGCUAUUCCAUCACCUAGAAGACCUCCUAUGUUAGUAGUAUGAUGGAGGGUAGAAAGCAAAUGCUACUUCAUCAGAAAAUUGAAUUUUAAGGUGGACGCGUUUGCGACCAUGGUUUUUUAUCCACCCGAGAUUUUCGGAAUCCACUGGAAAACCGGCCCUUCCGCCACCCAACGAGAAAACUGGAUCCAAAAAAGCUAGGGUUCCUAUCUCUCGUGGGCGCCGCCGUGGGUUCGCCUCCUCUCCAGUGGCCUUAGGGCCGUGGGGGCGCGGUGGAUCUCGGUAAGGGCCGGUUGGAGGGCUCCGUUUUUAGUCUUUCCUUUUAGUUUUGUUAGGGUUUGUGUCCUGCUCAGGAAGGUGAGGCGGUGGCGGCUCCCUGAACAUGGAAUAAAGGUCUCCCUGCCUAGCCCUCAUUCCGGCGGUGCGUCUAGCAUCGUUGGUGGGCGUGUGAAGAUAUGUCUCCAGUGGAUCUAUCUUUGGUGGAUUUGCUCGGAUCUCGUCGUUGUUCGUCUACGUUCGUGUGUCUUCGGGUUGGAUCCUUCUGGAGAAAAUAUGCCCUAGAGGCAAUAAUAAAAUUGUUAUUUUAUAUUUCCUUAUAUCAUGAUAAAUGUUUAUUAUUAAUGCUAGAAUUGUAUUAACCGGAAACUUGAUACAUUUGCGAAUACAUAGACAAAACAUAGUGUCCCUAGUAUACCUCUACUAGACUAGCUCAUUAAUUAAAGAUGGUUAAGUUUCCUGACUAUAGACAUGUGUUGUCAUUUGAUGAACGAGAUCACAUCAUUAGAAGAAUGAUGUGAUGGACAAGACCCAUCCGUUAGCUUAGCAUAAUGAUAGUUAAGUUUUAUUGCUANNNNNNNNNNNNNNNNNNNNNNNNNNNNNNNNNNNNNNNNNNNNNNNNNNNNNNNNNNNNNNNNNNNNNNNNNNNNNNNNNNNNNNNNNNNNNNNNNNNNNNNNNNNNNNNNNNNNNNNNNNNNNNNNNNNNNNNNNNNNNNNNNNNNNNNNNNNNNNNNNNNNNNNNNNNNNNNNNNNNNNNNNNNNNNNNNNNNNNNNNNNNNNNNNNNNNNNNNNNNNNNNNNNNNNNNNNNNNNNNNNNNNNNNNNNNNNGAAAACCGGAGGAACACCUUAUGUGCUAUCAAACGUCACAAUAUAACUGGGUGAUUAUAAAGAUGCUCUACAGGUGUCUCUGAAGGUGUUUGUUGGGUUGGCAUAGAUCAAGAUUAGAAUUUGUCACUCCGAGUAUCAGAGACGUAUCUCUGGGCCCUCUCGGUAAUGCACAUCAUGAUAAGCCUUGCAAGCAAUGUGACUAAUGAGUGAGUUGCGUGAUGAUGCAUUACAGAACGAGUAAAGAGACUUGCCGGUAACGAGAUUGAAUUAGGUAUGAAGAUACCGACGAUCGAAUCUCGGGCAAGUAACAUACCGAUGACAAAGGGAAUUACGUAUGUUAUCAUUGCGGUUUUUCCGAUAAAGAUCUCUGUAGAAUAUGUAGGAACCAAUAUGAGCAUCCUGGUUCCGCUAUUGGUUAUUGGUCGGAGAUGUGUCUCGGUCAUGUCUACAUAGUUCUCGAACCCGUAGGGUUCGCACGCUUAAUGUUCGAUGACGAUUAUAUUAUGAGUUAUGUGUUUUGGUGGCCGAAGAUUAUUCAGAGUCCCGGAUGAGAUCACAGACAUGACGAGAAGUCUCGAAAUGGUCGAGAGUUAAAGAUUGUUAUAUUGGACGAUAGUAUUCGGACACCGGAAUGGUUCCGGAGUGUUUCAGUUAUUUAUCGGAGUAUCGGGAGGUUAUCAGAACCCCUCAGGGGAAGUAAUGGGCCACAUGGGCCAUUGGGGAGAGGCAAGGCAGCCCACAAGGGGGUGCCCCCCCAUGGGGAGUCCGAAUUGGACAAGGGGAGGGGGCGCGGCCACCCUUUCCUUCUCCCUCUCCCUCUCCUUCCCCCUUUCCCCCUCCGAUAGAAGGAAGGGGGGCCGAAUAGGACUAGGAGUCCAAGUGGGUUUCCCCCCACUUGGCGCGCCCCCUAGGCCGACCUCCUCUCCUCUCCCUCAUUUAUAUACGGGGGCAGGGGGGCACCUCCAAUCAAUCAAUUGUUUCUUAGCCGUGUGCGGUGCCCCCCUCCACCGUUUACUCCUCCGGUCAUAUUGUCGUAUUGCUUAGGCGAAGCCCUGCGCGGAUUAUUUCACCAUCACCGUCAUCACGCCGUCGUGCUGACGAAAUUCUCCCUCGACACUUUGCUGGAUCAAGAGUUCGAGGGACGUCAUCGAGCUGAACGUGUGCUGAACUCAGAGGUGCCAUACGUUAGGUACUUGAUCGGUUGGAUCGCGAAGACGUUCGACUACAUCAACCGCGUUAAACUAACGCUUCCGCUUUCGGUCUACGAGGGUACGUGGACACACUCUCCCCCUCUCGUUGCUAUGCAUCUCCUAGAUAGAUCUUGCGUGACCGUAGGAAAUUUUUUGAAAUUGCAUGCUUCGUUCCCCAACACCUUCCUAUUUACAUUAUUCUUCAGUGGCAGCGGUUGAUGUUCUGGUGCGCUGGUCCUAUGGGGCCUUAGCACGAUGACUUCCUGACCGCCUACUGCAACAAGUUGUGCCCGACUCCGACGAUGGAGGGGCGAUGACGGUGGCGCGCCUUCCGCUCGUUUCAGUGCUUGUAGUCGUUGCAGGUGGUCUACAGAUCUGAAUGUAAUUUUUAUUUUUGGUCUACCAUGAUUGAAGAUGAAUAGAUCAGAAGUUUUCCCGAAAAAAGAAAAAGAAAACAUCUCUCUGACCAGAAUUCUGCGGUGAUAUGUUCUUCUUUUUUUGUCAGAAAAAGAUCCUGUCUGAGGUGAUCCCAACUAUCACCCUCAGUAUCAACAUCACACAUGUAGGUACUUGCGAUGUUGAUGUUGAUACCCAGAGUACAAACCUUCGCAUGGAGGCUUCUUAGGAGGGAAAUUCCCACAGGUGUGAGGGAAGUAGAUUUUCUUCUCAUAUUAUAAAACAGUGUGCUAGAUGUGAUCAAGAAAAAAGAAUGAUAUACACCUAUUCUUCACAUGUCCUUUUAGUAAAGCUGCUUGGUUCUUGGAACCUUGGAAUAUUAGGUCUGAAUUCUUUGUGCAAAAUUUUGGUUCGAUACCUGCUAUUAUACAGGCCUUGUUAACUUCCAAUCACCCUCAUGCCUCUCUCAAUAACAUUAUAACCUUCUUUGUUGUAUUUGGAAGUUCAGGAAUGAUAACCUUUUUGGCAGAAAAUCAAACUCUCCUAUGCAGGUAUACCCAGCUAUGCAAGCAAUAAUAAAAAGCCAAGAAUUAGUAUCUUGUGCAAAUAUGCAGGUUCACCAACAGAAAUAAUACAGAAAAAGAUGGCAGAUUAUGCACACAAGCCAAAGCAAGGAUGUUCAUUAGAAACAGAUGCUUGGAUUACAGGUUGCAAGGUUUAUGCAGAUGCUGCAUGGAAGAAGAACACUACUGGCUCCAAGAACGACUCAAGCAAAGCAGGAAUAGGAAUUGUCAUUUAGACCGGUGAGAAUGAGCAAGGAACAGGUAUCUUAAUCUCUGCAGCUUGCGGAAGUAUUGAAUCUCCAUUACAGGCAGAGGCUACAGCUCUACAAGUUGCCGCACAAAUUGCUUCCCAUAUCACUAACAACAAAGUUACUUUCUUAGUGGACAAUUUGACACUAACUCAGGCAGCGGCGUCAAGGAAUCUUCUUCAAGUCCCUGGGCACUGGGAAAUUAGAAGCCACCUAGCAAACUUUAUUGGUGCAACAAUGGACAUUCAAGCACAUGUUUUUCAUAUUCCUAGGAAACUUAAUGUAAACGCUCACAAUUGUGCAGCUUUUUCCAAUAGAGAAGAUCAUCCCCUGAACAAUAAGUUUGUAUGUUGUAAAGUAGAACAUGCAGGAGGUCAAUGUCCUUGCAAAGCUAGGCAACUUAUGUAUUAAGGUCUGCCAAAUCCUUUAUGUAACCUGUAUCUGAAAUUAAUAGAAGGCGCCUCUGGCGCCACCACUUGUCCCAAAAAAGAAAGUAUCAACAUCACUAUUUUUAUAAUUGGUCAGCAAAUCCUCUAAGGCAUGUUCUCCUGUUUCGAUUAUAUUACUACUGCAUUUAACAGUUGUUGCAUACUAGCUUGUAUCCCAAGAUCAAGUCUAGUUUGUUCUAUAGGUUUAAUAAGGUUUAUAUUGUAGUCAAUCAUAUCUAGAGAGCACCCCUCUCAAAUCUACCCCCACACAUGCAGCCUUAUUAGCAAGACUAUUAUUAUUGGAGGAUGUCACAAUUUUAGGAAUGUGAGACUCACCGUAAUCAUUCUUAGCUGCAACUCUCUCCUUUGCAAUAUCUUCCACUGUGUGGUCCUCUUUAUCCUUCAAUAGGUAGCAUCUCCUGGGCUCUUCCUCCAUAUUUUUCCUAGUGUUUAAUUCCUCUUUCCGAGCUCUACUGAACAGGGCAUGUUCAUUCCAACUGCAGUCAGUUUGAGUGCCCAAACAGUCUACCUUAGCUAAGCUCCGUCCUGUCUCUUCGCGUGGCGGAUCGUUCGCUCUGCUGAUAAUGUCUUCGAUAUUCUCCGUUUCUAUGUCACAGUGCUCGGCUCCCUCUGGGAAUGCUAUCGGCCGGACGGCUGUGAUUCCGCCACGUACGAAGCCAACCAGGCAGCUGGAUAUAAAUCAUAAAAUCAAUCAAGCAGGCUGGUUGCGCAUCAGGCGAGGGUAAAACAGACGCACCCGAUCGAACACGAGACACUAGAUUUGAUGGCAACAGGUACAUAUCCUAUUCCUAGUCGGUGACUAGCUAGUUUAUGUCCAAGCUGGUUGCUUCCAACAUGUACACAUGUGCAGGGCUUGUUCAUCUUUUUCGUACUACUAAGGAACACGAGACACUGGCAGCUAAACAAGACCCACCCCACCCGACAUGUGCCAGGCGCUUGAAGGUGUUGCUGAGCUGGGCCGGCCGGCCUCAGUCGUCGAUGGACAGGCACUGCAUCGACUACCGACACAGUGGCAACACAUGCACGAUCAUCAUUCAUCGACCCACCCCACCCGACCGAUGAUUAACCUAACCAUGCAUUAAUCUCUCGAUCGUUGACACAUUGUACGCAACAGUUGAUUAAGUAAGCACGUACACCCGUCCAUGUCUAGCUGCUCGCUCUGCUUCUCCAUAAAGGCCACUGCCAAGCAUGCGAGUCUGCUCCUCCUCUCUCUAUCUAGGUCGAUUGCACGAUCGAGACCAGCAACCUAAUGGGGUUCCCGGCGGCGGUGCCCAGGCUGCUGCCCAACCUCCUCUUCCUCCUUGCCCACCUCCACCGCCUCUCCUCCUGGCUGCGACCACCCAAACAACUCGGACUUCGCCGACCACCACCACCACCAGGGGCAGUACCACGACGUCCACGGCCUCAAGGAGCUGGAGGAGAACUGCCCGGCCGUGCGCUUCGACGAGCUCUCCAUAUCCAACGCCGGCACCAGCGCCGGGACGCCCAUCCUCCCAGAGGGAUGCGUGGUGUGCCUCAGUGACUUCCACGGUGCGGCGCGUGUGCGCCGGCCGCGGGGGUGCCAGCACGUCUUCCACUUUGGCUGCCUCGACCGCUGGGUCGCUCACGGCCACCGCACCUGCCCGCUCUGCCGGGCUCCGUUCCUCCUGAUCGUGCCGCCCCCGGCCGGCGUCAUGAUUCCCACGGGGACUUGUUUGCAUAAUUUGGCGACUGUCCUCCUGGAUGACAAGCUCUGAAUUCUCGCUUCCUGUUAGACUUUUAUGAAUCAAACCCAACCCACAACAUGGGCUAUGGAGGCCAUGGCAGAGAAGUGUUGAAAUAUUUUCCGGGGGGCCUUCUUUGGAGAGACUAGCAAAUCACUACUAGGAAAAACCUUAUAUACAGAACAUUAGCAGUAGCACGGGCUAAAAACGCACGCGGGUGCUACUGCUAAUUAGCAGCAGCGCGGUGUUGUAAAUGGCGCUACAGAUACAGUUAUAGCAGUAGCGCGCCCGAGUACAAAAGUGAUACUACUAAAAUUCCCACGGCUUAGCCGAUAGGCUGCACAUAGUAGUAACAUUCUUCGCCGAACCGCGCUACCGCUAUUUGCUUUGUAGCAGCGUGUUUGCACUGAGAGGCGCUACUGCUAAAGUAAAUAAAAUUAAAUGGAAAGCAAAUAGAAAAGUAAAUGAAAAUGAAAGAAAUACAAAAAGGUGAAAGGAAAAAAAAUAAAAUGUAAAGAAAAAUAAAUAAAAAAGUGGAAAAAAGAGAAUGGUACAGCAGUAGCGCGUAUCCAGGAACGCGUUGUAGCUAUGUUAGCAGUAGCGCACUUCCUGGAACGCGCUACUGCUACUUCUGACUAAACCGCUCGAUUCGUUCUUCCCAACGGCCACUUCCCCCAAAUCGCAACUCCUCCGCUGUCGCCGCCGUACGCUCUCCCGUCGCUCUCCCGCCUCAACACCGCCCCCGAACCCAGAUUCGACGCCGCCCCCGACCCCGACCUCGACACCGCCCCCGACCCCGACCUCAACGCCGCGCUCCGCCGCGCGCCCGAGCCCCGACCCCGACCUCGACGCCGCCUGCCCCUCCCUUGCCGCAGUCACCGUAAGGCUCUGCCUCUCCUCUCCCCUACCCUCCUCUCUCUCUCUGCUAGGGCAAUUUAUAUAUGUGUUGAUGUUCAUAUGAACCCUAGGUGUUCAUAUGAACCCUAGGUGUUCAUAUGAACCCUAGAUUUGUUUAGGGUAGUAGGCAUUUUUUAGCAUUUAGAAAAAAUGAUUAGCAAUUUUUUUAGAAAAUUAGCUAGGGCAAUUUUUUAUGAAAAUGCCUAAACAGUAAUUUCAUUUGCAUAUUAUUGUUAUAUGAUAUAUGUCAUUGAUGUUCGUUUGCAUAUUCCAUUAUUGAAGUGGUUCGAUUGUGCCCAAGUGGCUUUGUUGUUUCCAGGAAAUGAAGCCGAGUGGCCUAUGUUUUGCCGGAAUGUUGAUUCAUUUCCGUUCUGGCAAAUUUCAGGUUCUCGAUUUGUCCACCUUUUAGCAAAAGUCAUGCCGAAAAUUUUCGUGAAUUUCGGCAUGACCUGUGCUACAAACUAGGACAUAUCGAGUGCCCGGGAUUUGCUGCACCGGGAAGGAGUCAACGUUCCUGCAAAGCAUAGGCCUUUUUUAUGUCAUUAUUCAUUUUAUUAGGUAUAGAAUUAAUUGACUAUAUUUAAUCGUAAGAACUAGUUGAAUUAUUAGAACUAGUUGAACAUGUCACAUUUGUUGUUAUUUUUUAGUUAAAGCAAUUUUUCGCGCAUCGACGUCGACGAUGCCUAUCCCGCAUCCUCGUCGUCGAGUCGGCGGAGGACACCUGCGUCACCAGAUGGGCCAUGUCCGGGACUGGGCUCCGCCGGGGUGGUACUGGAAGGCGCUUCCUACGGGAGGGGGGGCGCAGGUUGGUGAGGAGCCAGCCUGUCGUUGACCCGAACCUUCUUUGGUGGCGGUCGCGUGGGCCAGUGACGGUCCAGAGGCUCGAGGACCCCGCGGAGGUGGUGCGUCACCGUGUCAGUGAGGAGGACGCGCACGUCCGUCGCUACUUGUUUGCGUUGGAGCACAGGUUCUCCAAUACCUGGCAGGUUCUCCAGGGAUCUCACUGGAGCUAUGAUCCUGUGAUGGUUCCUUCUCUUUGGGUGUCCACCGCCCGCGCCGAUACCCGUCGUGCGCUAGGGUUUUAGUUGUAUUAGUGAUGUUAUAUGUAUGAUACUAUUCGGGAUGUAUUAGUGAUAAUAUUCGACGAUGUACGGACGCAUGAGAUGAUUUACUUUUGCUUAUUGAAUGCAUGCUAAUUUGAAUACUUAUUUAUUUUAUGAUUUGGUUUUGCUUAUUGAAUGCUCAUGUCAAUAUGAGUCCUAUAAGAUAUUUUGAGUAUCCUGGAGUUGUCUUCGAUCGAUUUUCAAUUAAUGUUUCAACUAUGAACAUAGGAAAUGUCUGACAACGAAAAGGAUUUCGGUAUUUGCAAAUACUGCGAAGACGAGCGCGGCCUGUGCGACGGAAUCUUCCUAGAUGAUGAUAGGCGCUUCAGCAUCAAGCUGGACGUGAACUUCGAAGUGGAUACAGUAAGUCACAACGACAAGUCUUUUUUCGUAAUUAAGCAUGACAUCUGCUUCAUUUGCUUCAACUUAUAAUUUAUUUUUUUACUAUUCUACUAGAGUAUCCCCGGCCAUGCAAGAGUUUUUGUCUUGGAUAAGAUAGGUUUCAGUCGUACUAUAGAGGUAAAGAAAGUUUACUUGAAGACCGAGCAUGGUUAUAUUUUCCACGCAAAAUUAUACAACGCAGACGACUACACCUAUUUUGGAUGCAAAACUUGGCGAGCACUGUGCAAGACUUAUGCAUUUGAGCCUGAUAUGGUUAUCACCUUUAAUAUUCGUCCGGAAGAUGAUAUUGAAGGUAAUACCGACAUCUGGGUCGAUGUGCAGACGCCUCCAGUUAUACCAUUAUGAGAGUUUCUCAACCAUAUUUAUGUCUUUGAUAUUGUUUAUUCAAAAAUAGUUGACAACUAAUUUCUAUUGUCAGCUUAUUUCGGUUCAAGCAAACAUGUCCAGGGCUUGGUAGACAGGACCUACUACUGUCCCGGGGCUGAACUAAACUGCGAGGAGCUAAGUCAUUAUGUUUCAUGGCUUGAGGAUCUUGAUACUGUCAAGACAAAUUUUCUUCCUGCACUUAGAAAUGUUAGUACUGAAAACGUGCGAUCAAUAGUGUUCGUAAUGAACUACGGUCACAUCUAUUUAGGAAAGAUGGUAAGAUUUUUACUAUUUAUCCUCAGUGCAUCUUUUGCAUACAUUAUUUUUUAAGCUAAACUUCAUUGCUAAGUAUGUUACUAUACGAUGUUCUUCAACAGGGACUCCCGAUGAAUGUUGUGCCUCAUGGGAUCGAGACUAAUGUUACCAUAAGUAUUGUUAGCUUACGGCCAAGAUAUCCUACAAUGCACUUUAGUGCAUUCAGGAUUUCUAAGAGCGAGGAAGUCUUAAUAGUGAAAGACUGGACCAAAUUUGUGAUGGAGGACCGCAGAGAAGUACUAGGGGGCAGCAAUGAGGAGCGCAGCCCACGAUUAGGAGACAGAUUCAUCUGCAUGCUCCAACUUGAUGAAGGAGGAGAGCUACACAUGUUUUAUGUUAUUUUACCUGAGAGAGAGCAGCAGGAGUGAUUAGCUAGCUAGAAAUGAGUUUGAAGAUGAUGAUGUGCUACACUAUGACUAUGAUGAUUAAAUAGCUAGUGUUGGUGGUAAUGACUAUGAUGAUUAUUAUUAGCUAGUGUUGGUGGUGAUUAGAUAGCUACCGCAUCUAGUGUUGGUGGUGAUUAGCUAGCUAGAAUGAGUUUGAAGAUGAUGAUGUGCUACACUAUGACUAUGGUAAUUAAAUAAAUACUGUUGGUGGUAAUGACUAUGAUGAUGAUUAAAUAGCUUGUGCUGGCGGAUUAGAUUCAAGUGGAGGCAACAUGUGGUGCACAUCGAAAGUACUACUAGUCCAAACUAGAUCAAGUUUGGAUUAGUAGUACUUUUGACAUGCACCACAUGUUCCCUCCACUUGAACCUAAUCCACCUUCAUUUGACACACUGUUAUGGACAUAUUGAUAUAACAACCUCAUAAUUGGUAUUGUACCAAAAUUUGUAUAACAGCGUAUAAAUACACUAAAAAUUAAAAAAAUAGAAAAAGAAUAAUAGUAGCGAUGGAGAGUAAACACUCUACUACUAGCUAUAUUAGCAGUAGCGCUGGAGUGAACAAACACUGCUGCUAUAUGUCUUAGCAGCACCGCGUGUAGCACGCGCUACUGCUAAGGAAUAGCUGUAGCGCCUUAUCAGUAGCGCAUCCACCCGCGCUACUGAUAGGCAAAAUACCCGCGCUACUGCUAGGGUUUUCCCUAUAGUGAAUGUGUCCCUGCGUUGCAAGGUGAGAAAUUUCCAUACACCCGACCGUCUGACACCGGUAAUGUAGUUAAUUAUAUAUACCUAGAAAAGUCAUACUGGACAAUUAUAGACAUGCAUAUUAGAAUAACUACAUAGGUGAUUAACAAAAGUAACUCGAUGUAGUAAAAAUGCUUAAUCUGUUACCAUCUAUUAGCAUAAUGACCGUGCUUCACACAGAGAAAAUACUGGUUGCCUUGAUAGGUCAACCUUGUGAGGGGUAAGGGAUGAUGGAACACAGGGAGAAUUUCCUCCUUUUAUUGUUAUUGAAAAAAUGAUGAACAAAUUGAUGGCAUGAGCAUGAUCAAACAACUUUUAACCUGAUGCAAGGCACAUUUCCACUUAUGUAUAUGUGAAACAACACUCAAUAUCACAAAUUAGUAAGCAUGCCAAACGGUCAAGAGCUAAUACUACUGGAGUAAACCAUAUUGUAAACAACUAUUCCCUAAUUUUGUUUUUGUCAAUUAUCAUCUAGAUGACUAUUCUAUUCCACCGACUACACUGGUAUAUAACACUAAAGCCAUAACUUAGUUCUUAUAGCCGGUAAAAUAACCAAGAACGGUACCCAUAAUAAAAAAUAAGAACGAUCAUCACAUUGCAGUGUAAGUGCACAGUACCAUUUAUCUUAAAAAAACACCAUUCACUGACCCCCAACCACCGUUGCCCCGUAGGCAAGAAAGUCAAGCUUCAGACAAACCGAGCCUUCCCAUUCAGCUGUGCAAUUAGAUUAAGGAAACAGGUACCAAGUUUGAUAAAAAAUUACAACACUAACAUUGCAUUUGUAGUCUUUGAUCUGGUGUACAUUAUUGAUAGUUCCAGUGAAGUGAAAGACAAAGGCAAACUCACACCAGAUUUAGUAAUCCAGUGCAUCUAGGAACAUGCAGUGUCUCUUCUAAAUAACGAUAGAUCACUGAAAAAGAAACAUUAAGGAUCAAUAAAUAUGUUGGUCACAUGGUCUUCAGGGCAGAUCGUGCAGGGUGCAGGGCGAGAGGACACGGAGUGGCGUCUUUUAAAGAACAAAUGCCAAGUGUACGUGAGCUAAAUAUACUUAUACUGAUCUAGGGGAUACGAUGAAACUAUGCUUCCUAGCACAGAAAGAAGCACAUGAUCGGCAAUUGCAAAAGCAAAUCUGCACAUAAAAGAAAAGUAUAGACUGUAAACCUUUUUUUUUUUGAACAGGUAGUCUGGAUACUAAGGGAAACUACAAGAAAACAAUUCAGAAAAUGUAGAAACUUUACUGUACAGAAUCUGCAGGGUAUAUAACAGAACAUAUAUACUUAGGCGCAGGUUCUUCAUAAUAACUUCAAUUGGUUGCACUUAACCCAGAUGAAAUACAAUGUAGUAGCCGCAUUUGUUCAGAACAAAGAAUGUAGCAUUCAUAGCUUAGCUGCCCUUUGCUUCAGUUAAAUAAUAGGUGCUAGCUUGCUUGAUGGCUGUGCCCAAAAUUCAGAUUGAACAACUCUGAACCUGACUCUGGCUAAAACAACAAAAUCGUUGGCUUAUGUGUUCUGCAUUAUGGACACUGUGACAUGAGUAGCAACUUGAGUAAAGAUAACCUGAAAGAAUAACAUCGCAGAGGCCUCUCACCAAGGGCCUUGGAUGCAUCAUGGACCUCCAGCUCAUUCUCUCGUCCGUGCAAAAUUUUCAAAUUAGAGCAACAUCCAAAGCUUUGAUGGUCUGAAUCUGAAGGAAGUGUUACUGAUUUGGUCUGAAGGAAGAAGAGCAGUGGGGAUUAAAAGUUGGGAACACAUGCAUCUUGACACAACUUGAUCCACGCUUUGAAAUCAUUCAUUUAUCUAUUUAAUUAGCGCAUACAAUGAAAUCCCAAAUCCCCCUCCUCUAUUCCACCGAGCCGCGGGCCUCCUUUUUUUCUCCUCCAGCUAUUGGACUCCUUCUGAUAUCUAGCGAGACACAACCUACGAGACGAAGCGCUGGCUCCUCUAUCACACCUCUCCUCCGAACAACACUGGCAUGCCAUAGCUCCUCCACACCACACCGGUCCUCUCCUCCACAUCACACCCCCCGCUACGGAAAAUGGCCAAUCCUCCAGAGUCCAGAACCAACGCUAGAGGGCAGCGACCCCCUCCUUGCUCCUCCCCACCCGAGACACGGCGUUUAUAUCUAUCGGCCUCUUCAUGCAUGAAGUCGCCUGAGACGACGCGUCCGCCAUGCUCUUCGUCCAGACGCCGCAUGCCGCCUCCACGGUAACCUAACGUGCCACCGACGCCGGUGGUCGACAGCCCCCUGUCGCCGACCCCGACGACUGAUCGAUAACCUGUCUAGGAUGAACCGCCUCGAGUUCGGUCCUCCUCCACCCACUACUGGAAUCGACCUAUACACCGGGUGCCACGGACACUCGGCAAAGAAUCAAAUACCGCCGGCAAAGCCUUUGCCGAGAGUUGCACUCGCAAAGGCCACCCGGCGUAGAGGUCUUCGGCAAACAGAAAUUUACCGAGAGCCAAUCACCGAACACUCGGCAAAAAGUUUACCGAGUGUCGAAUAGUGCCACUCGGUAAAAUAAAGUGUCUGACGGUCACCGGAAAAGGCAGCUGCCACGUCUUCAUGGGAUUUACCGAGUGUGCACAAGAGGUACUCGGCAAAGCCUUGCGAGCAAAUAAAAAAAAAAAGGCGCCGACGAGGGCACCGGUUGUAGCCGUCGCCGUCGCCGUCGCACAGCUGGGACCUCGAGCCGCUGCGAGACAGGAAAAGGCCGACGAGGCAGGGGCCGCGUACGUGUCACACCAUCGUGUCGCACCUCACGCGCCAGGCGAGACGGGAGGAGGCCGGCAAGGCAGGGGCCGCGUACGCCACGCGGUGCCGCUCCUCUGCUGAGGAGGAUGCCCUACUGCCGCCCUCGAUGGGCUCCAUGGCCGCCGUCGGGCAUGGCCCGUUCAGGACUUCAGGUUCGCCAGGCACCCCAUGGCCACCGCGAGCGAGCAGGGCGGAGCGGCGUCACCGGCGGCGGAGCUCAGGGUCGCUGUCCAGCCAGCCAUCUUCCCGGUUCUUGAGCUCGUAGCCCUUCCCCUCAUCUGCGCCGGCGUGAAGAAGAGACCAGGAGAGAGAUGUGUGUGCGUGAAGAGUGAAGAGACAGGAGAGGUGUGCGUCCGUGAAGAGAUAAAGAGAGAUAGCAUGUUGUGUGAAGGGAAGCCACAUCAUCGAUCCAAACCAUCCACUCCUCGGCCAAUCAGGGACGGGGAUUUUGUGUUUCUUUGGCUCAUGGUUUUACCGAGAGUUGUCUAAAAGGCACUCGACAAAAAGUUGAUUAAAUAUAACAAUUGAACCUUUAAUUAUAUCAAAAAAUUGACAUGUGUCAUGCAAUGGUGUAUAAAGAAUACAUCAUGCUAAUUUUCAGUUUUUUUGACUUUGUUUUUUUUUUAUUUUGCUCCCAAGGCUCCUCCUCUGAGAUCGUGGUAACUAGAUCUAGGGCUUUUCAUUUUUACCGAGAGCAACACUCGGAAAAGCCAUCACGCCACCACGCCAUGUCAUCGAUCCGUGUGUUGUUCUGAGAUUGGUUGAGAGUGUGCUUUCUCUCGACCAAUCAGAAAAAAACUAGAAAGUUCAUAAAACUUGGGAAUGGUCCAUCAAAUAUGGUAUAUUUUCUGUGAAAAUUGAAGUGGUGCCAUUUUACACUUUGUUUUUUGUGCUUGCUUUAUAAAAAGUACCCAAUUUUUAUACUUAGAAAAUGGAAAAUGACUUAUUUUACAAAAAAGUUAGAAACUCUAUUUUGCAACAUUGUUUGUAAUGACAAGAUGCAUUUGGGCACCAAGUUUGGGCACAUUAUAUUAAACUAUGCAAUGAAUAUGGCCAUCACUUAGUCAUUUGACUUGAAAUCCAUGGAUGUUCAUAGACAUAGCCCGUUUUGUGAAGGAUUUUUUUCCAAAUUAGUCAUAUGAAAAGUUUGGUAUUUUUCCUCACAACUAGUACACUUAAAAGGACUCCAUGCGAAAGGAUUAUAUUUUUUGAAGUUGUAUUCAUUUUCUUUCAUUUUUUUCAAAAUGGGGUCAAAAUGAAUGGCAUGGCUAUUCAUCACAAGGGAUGGAAUCUCUCAAAACUCUAAGUGGUUCUCCCAUAUAAUGACUAUUUGUGUAUCUAAAAAUAUUUUUUGCUAAUUUUUAUGACAGAGCUAUCACACACUUGCAGUUCAAAUUUGAAUCACUUUCGUGAAAUUGAUGUAAAGUCAUUUAAAUGUGCGGAAGUAGCUAGAAAACUAGAAAAUCCAUGAAACUUGAGAAUUGUGCCUAAAAUAUGGUCUACUUACCGUGAUAAUUGGAGUGGUGCCAUUUUGCACCCCCAUUUUUGUACUUGUUUCACAAAAAACACCCAUUUUUGACACUUAGAAAAUGAAAAUUAAUUUUUUAUACAAAAAAGUAGGAAACUCUAUUUGGAAACAUUUUUUGUAAUGUCAAUAUGAGCCUAUGUGUCUAAUUUGGGAACAUUAUAAUAAUCUAUGCAAUGAAUAUGACCAUCACCUUGGUCCUUUAAGUUGAAAGCCAUUAAUGUUCAUACAUGAUAGUCCGUUUUGUGAAGGAAUUUUUUUCAAAUAUGUUAUAUUGAAAGUUUGGUAUUUUUCCUCGCAAGUAAUACACAUAAAAGCACUCCACGUGAAAGGAUAGCAUUUUUUGAAUUUGUAUUCUUUUUCUUUCAUUUUCCCAAAACAGGGAUAAAAUGGUAGAAUCUCUCAAAAAUCAAGUGGUUCUCCCAUAUAGUGACUAUUUGUGUACCUAAAAACAUUUUUUGCUAAUUUUUAUGACUAAGCUAUCACAUACUUGCAGUUCAAAUUUGAAUUACUUUCGGGAAAUUGACAUAAAGUCAUUUAAAUGUGCGAAAGUAGCUAGAAAACUAAAAAAUCCAUGAAACUUGGGAAUUGUGCAUAAAAUAUGGUCUACUCACUGUGGUAAUUGGAGUGAUGCCAUUUUGCACCCCGAUUUUUGUACUUGCUUCACAAAAAACACCCAUUUUUGACACUUAGAAAAUGGAAAUUGAUUUUUUAUUAAAAAAAAGAAGGAAACUCUAUUUGGCAACCUUGUUUGUAAUGUCAAGAUGCGCCUAUAUGUCUAAUUUGGGAACAUUAUCAUAAACUAUCCAAUUAAUAUGGCCAUAACCGUGGUCAUUUGAGACUAUAUAAAUACUUGGCAAGCCAAAAAGUUUAAUUAAUAUGGCCUGAAAUGAAAAAAGUUUUCAACACGGAAAUUGUCCGUCUCGUCAAAAUAAACAAAUUUGAUUUUUGGACCAUCUUCAUCCGAGGUCGUAUGCAACCUCUACAACCAAAACCGUGCAGUUUAGCAAAGACACCCUUUUGCCGAGUGUGACACUCGGUAAAGACCCCCUUUUGCCGAGUGUAGCACUCGGCAAAGCCCUGUUUGCCGAGUUUUGUUAUUUUACCGAGUGUUUUGUCAACGACAGUCGGCAAGGUGCCUAUUUGCCGAGUUUUGCGUUUUUGCCGAGUUAAGCACUCGGCAAAGAUACUAUUGCCUAGUGUCCGACAUAAUGCACUUGGCAAAGAGCCUAACACUCGGCAAAGAGGAAAAUUCCAGUAAUGACCACGAGCACAACACAUGGACACGCCAUCUUCAGUGACUGUGGUCAUCCCGUUUCGGGUGAGACCAAAUCGACGGGAUCAACUGAGGAAGGACAUGGUGGUGGGGUGCGUGUGCCGCACAUGUUCGUUGACUCGUCGUUCAUGGCUGCUUGACUCCCACGUCCGUCCGUCCACCCUCUCCUCCCCGGGCUCCUUAUCCUCUUCACCGUCUUUGCUGGUCACGGCCUCCAGCAACUCCAUCUCUUGCUUCUUCCGCUGAUGCUCCAGCCCUGUGUGUGGCACGUACACAACCAUGGCCCGCAGCGUAGAUAUAGGUCAGAGAGGUUUGAAAGGAAUCUUACUCGGUGGAGAAAUCCGAGGCGUAACAAAUUCCACCUACCCUGGAACGGUCCAUGGGUGAUGUACCAAAAUAGAAGCGGAGGCCCAGCUAUGCGACAUAUUAGACACGUUUUGGCCUGUUGUUGCCGUUCUCUGUCUCACACCGGACGGAGAUGGAAGAAGGAGCACACUUUUUCCCCGGCGACCAACGCCCCGGCGCCCAAACGUCUCCUUUAUAUUCAGCACACAGGCAGCACACACACGAGCCAGCCACACAACUCGGCGCCACUGCGUACACGCAUGCCCACUAAUCCAUCAGCUAUUCCCACAACGGCCACAUGAUCGGGCUGUCCACCCAGCUAGCUAACUAACUAACAACAUGCACAUCCAUACGUCUGCACUGCACGGCUGCCCAACUACUGCAUGCCUGACGCUGCUGCUCAUUGCCAGCUUCUCGCGGACGACUCGGCCAUCACCAACCGGCCCGAUGGCACACACGCGUCCACGUCUGCCACGGACUCGAUCUAGAAGCGCUCACACCGGUCGCCACCGCCUGCGAGCAUGGCUUAUUGCCAACAUGGCCUUAUGCAGAUCUAUUAAAUUUCAGCCGCUAAUCUUUCAAGUUUAUACAAAAUCAAUGGUUAUAAAGCGAUGAUGUAUGGAGAACUAUGAAAGCCUCCAUCCUUUAUUAUUAGGUAAAGAUUAUCACUAUGCCGUCUCCAGGGAUGGGCCUUAGUUCCUUGUUCAAGCUUUAGUUAAUUUGGAUUUCACUAUAAUGGAUUUGGUCCCCACAGUAAAAUAGGUUAGAUUAUAGGAAGUAGGUACAGGGGUGAAUCUGUAUAUAUGCAUUGACAAAGGUUUUUGCUCUGCUCACCGUUAGUUGAUAUGUCUCCAACGUAUUUAUAAUUUUUGAUUGUUCCAUGCUAUUAUAUUAUCUGUUUUGGAUGUUUAAUGGGCUUUAAUAUGCUCUUUUAUAGUAUUUUUGGGACUAACCUAUUAACCAAAGGGCCAGUGUCAGUUUCUUUUUUGUUGUUGCCUAUUUCAGUGUUUUGCAGAAAAGGAAUACCAAGCGGAAUCCAAACGGAAUGAAACCUUCGCGAUGAUCUUUCUUGGAACGAAAGCAAUCCAGAAGACUUGGAGUUGAAGUCUGGAAUUCCGCGAGGCGGCCACGAGGCAGGGCGCGCCCAGGGGGGUAGGCGCGGCCCCCACCCUCAUGGCCCCACGGAGCUCCACCGACGUACUUAUUUCGCCUAUAUAUACCCUUAAACCCUAAAAACAUCAGAGGGAGCCACGAAACCACUUUUCCACCACCGCAACCUUCUGUACCCGUGAGAUCCCAUCUUGGGACCUUUUCCGGUGCUCUGCUGGAGGGGGAAUCGAUCACGCAGGGCUUCUACAUCAACACCAUAGCUUCUCCGAUGAUGUGUGAGUAGUUUACCGCAGACCUUCGGGUCCAUAGUUAUUAGCUAGAUGGCUUCUUCUCUCUGUUUGGUUCUCAAUACAAAGUUCUCCUCGAUGUUCUUGGAGAUCUAUUCGAUAUAAUACUCUUUUGUGGUGUGUUUGCCGAGAUCCGAUGAAUUGUGGAUUUAUGAUCAAGUUUAUCUAUGAAUAAUAUUUGGUUCCUCUCUGAAUUCUUAUAUGCAUGAUUUGAUAUCUUUGCAAGUCUCUUUGAAUUAUCGGUUUAGUUUGGCCUACUAGAUUGAUCUUUCUUGCAAUGAGAGAAGUGCUUAGCUUUGGGUUCAAUCUUGCGGUGUCCUUUCCCAGUGACAGUAGGGGCAGCAAGGCACGUAUUGUAUUGUUGCCAUCGAGGAUAAAAGAUGGGGUUUAUAUCAUAUUGCUUGAGUUUAUCCCUCUACAUCAUAUCAUCUUGCUUAAUGCGUUACUCUGUUCUUAUGAACUUAAUACUCUAGAUGCAUGCUGGAUAGCGGUCGAUGUGUGGAGUAAUAGUAGUAGAUGUAGAAUCGUUUCGGUUUACUUGACAGGGACGUGAUGCCUAUAUUCAUGAUCAUUGCCUAGAUAUUCUCAUAAUUAUGUGCUUUUCUAUCAAUUGCUCGGCAGUAAUUUGUUCACCCACCAUAAUAUAUGUUAUCUUGAGAGAAACCACUAGUGAAACCUAUGGCCCCUGGGUCUCUUUCUUAUUAUAUUGCAUCUCUUUUAUUUACAUCACGUCUCAUUUACUAUUUUGCAAUCUUUAUUUUCCAAUCUAUACAACAAAAAUACCAAAAAUAUUUAUCUUACUAUCUUUAUUAGAUCUCACUUUUGCGAGUGACCGUGAAGGGAUUGACAACCCCUAUAUCGCAUUGGUUGCAAGGUUCUUGAUUGUUUGUGCAGGUACGAGGUGACUUGUGUGUUAUCUCCUACUGGAUUGAUACCUUGGUUUUCGAAAACCGAGGGAAAUACUUACGCUACUUUGCUGCAUCACCCUUUCCUCCUGAAGGGAAAACCAACGCAUGCUCAAGAGGUAGCAUUAGUUUCCUUUAGUUCUUCCCUAGACUUUAGCAGUACCAUUUAUUUCAUCUUUUAUACUACCACCAGCAACUUGGGGCUAACUCUUCUUUAGAGUUUGAACAUAUUUUGUGUAUUUACAUGCUCUCUUGAAACUGCAUUUGGAUUCGACUGGAUUGCCUUAUUUAAUCCCAUAUGUCAACUAUAAAGUCUAAACUCCGAUGUUAUAGCGGCUGUAUACCUACCACGACAUGCCAAUUUUUCUUCUUGUAUAUAGAAAAACCUGUCCACUAAUAUCUUCUUCACUGACAGAUGCAUAAAGUAGAAUGUAAGCAGAUGUCAAUGAAACAUUACCAAACAUCCUCCCUGUUCAAGAAUAGAAGCGAAGAUGACCGAACUAAUAAAUAGGCUAAUAUUGAAAUUGGUGACGAAAUAAUCACAACAUAUUUCUUAUACUCAUGCAUUGUGUAGGAUCCUCUAUCAAGAUAUUUAUAGAUAACACAUGUACAAAUGCACUAUAAUAUAUAUAGAAACGUCAGGCACACUGCGUGUGCAGGCCAUCCAAACUAAAUCCAACAUAUGUCCUGCUUCUCUUAUCUCAAAACAAAUGGAAUAAAAUACUCCACUGACGAAUGCAUGUGAUUUUUUUGUUUGGUUUCUUUAGAUUUGGAUCGAUAUAAUUUCUUCCAACAAAACAACAUGGAAUACUUUUUGAAAAUUAUAAUAUAAUUUUCAGGAUGGAAGUUUGUGUUGUUUCCUAGAAAUGUCUUAAUUUUUUAAGUAUUGUCAUGUGAACAUGUGUUAAAUAUUAUCAAAUAUAAUUAAAAUACAAAUUAAAUUUUGUGAUAAUGAGAUGUAUGAAAUAAAAAUGUUUAGUACAAGAGUCCCGCUUCGAUACAACCCGCCUCACUAAGUGUAUAAAGGGGAAUAUAUACUAUUAAAAAUUUAUAUAUAUUUUCAUAUAUAUAAGUCGAACCUUAAUCUCGCGAUGCAUGCUACCGAUGCUAGCCAACGAAGUUAGCAACAGAUCACGAUUUAAACAUAGCGCUGACCUUAAAGUAUUAAUUAAAUUGUAAUCUCUUUUUUUCAAUAUUUUUUGAAAAACAAAUUUCUUAAAAAUGUGAAUAAUGUUAAGAAAUCUUAAAAAAAUAUAAUAUUUUUUUAUCAUGAGCAUUUUCUUUUAAUAGUGAACAAAUCGAAAUCUGAACAAGUUUUAUAAAAAUGAAUGUAAAGUACGGUGAACUUAUACCUUUUUUUUAGUCUACGGUGAACUUUAUUCAAAUACACACUAAAUACCUUUUUCAAAUAUACAGUGAAACUUUUGCUAAUGGGCACUGACUAAAAUAAACAUUACUUAUACAUUGAACAUUUUUUCAAUGUAUGAUUAAUAGUUUUUUUAAUUAGAUGAUUAAAAAAACAUGAACACAUUUUGGAAAAUGAACAAACUUGGAAUUUCAACUUUUAUUGGUAUUUAGGAUUCCAAACUUUUUUUGAACGUCAAUAAAUCUACAAAAUGUGAACUAUGUUUGAAAAUGUGAAAAAAAUUUGGUAUUUCAAAGAUUUUUUAAAAAUCAAACAAAUAUUGAAAAUUCUGAACAAUUUGUGCAAGUUUUUAAUUUAUGGAAAACCAAAAGGAAAUAGCAAAAAGAAAUAGAAUAAGGUAAAAAAGAAAAUAAAACAAAGAAAUAAGCAGGAUAACAGAAAAUAAAAACAUGAAGAAAACUAAACAAAACCUAUGAAGAAAAACAAAACAGCAAAAAACACUUAGGGAACCUUCUAAAAGGUUCCCAAAACCGGUUGCUCGCUCGAGGUGGGCUGGCCCAUGUUGGUUGGUCGCUUCGCUUCAACGACGCCACGAUGGUUUAACGCUCACGGGCUGCAAAUAGGGUUCAUCGUUCGGGGAAUAGAGUCAUAUAGACAGCACCACACACAGGAGACCGACCGACUGGUCCGGCCCAUUGUUGCACGAGCAAAUAGGGAAAAUUUCAUCAUAAAAGAAAUGGCAGAGCGAGGGACCAAACUCUCUAACUCCUGUUGUUGACCCCUCAUUCUCGUUGCUAGCUUUAGUGUUUAACUACAAAAACGCACACUACUAGAACUAUCCCUUAGCGACCGGUACUUUAGUAGUGUCUAACUACAAAAACACACACUACUAGAAGUCUAGAACUAUCCCUUAGCGACCGGUACUGUAGUGAACCAGUCUUCUUCCCACUAUUUAUUUAUCUUUUUUUCCUAUUCUUUUUUUGUUUUACUUUUUGUUUUCUUUCUCUUUUUUCAAAAAAUGCCCGCGCUUCUACUAAUUUGAUAUAAUUUUAAAAAAGGUCGCCUCUUCAAAUUUCAUAAAAUACAAAUAUUCAUAUGUUACAAAAUUGUACAGAAUUUAAAAAAAUUAUUCGUGCCUUCCAAAAUUGCCGAUAGUGUCAAAACAUGGGCAUUUUUUAAAAGAAGCAAACAAAAAAGGCCAAUAAAUGGCCAGACAUGUUGCAACUUGCAUAGCAUGUCGGAAAUUGUUUAAAGCAAGCAUGGAUGCCUACUAUGGGCAUACCCACAUGCUUGCAAAAGUUGGCAUCAUUUCAAGAAUGUCCAAAACUAGACCAGUUUAAACAAAGUAUGUCCGGGUAGGCGGGAAUGUUCCGUGUGAGAGCACGCAGUUUCUCGACAUCCUUGAAAGGGCCCAAUUUUUUCCUGUUCUUGUAUCACCAAUUCAAGCCACUAUGCCAAGUUGUUUUGGUCUUUGAAAAGUUUUGCAUUUUCUGGAGUUUUCUUAGUGAAAAAAGCUUGAUAAAUGGCUGAACAUGACGCCACUUGCAUACGUGUCGGAAUUUGCUCAAAGCUAGCAUGGUUGCCUACUAUGGGCAUGCCCACCUGCUUGCAAAGUUGGGUUCAUUUCUAGGAAGUCCAAAAGAACACCUUGUUCAACGUAGGGUGUUCAUAUAGGCUAGAAGGCUUUGUUUGAGAGCUUGCUUUUUGGCAUCUAUCAAAUGACCCCCCAAAUUGCUUCCACUAAAUUAUAUGACCUAUUCAAGGCAUCAUGCCAAAUGUUUUUAGUUGUCAAUAAUUCUUGCAUUUUUCAAGUUAUCUCCAUGAAAAAUGGCCAAUGAAUAGUUGGACGUGUUGCAACUUGCAUACGGUGUCAGAAUAAGUUCAAGUUCGAGAAUGGCGCCGACCCGAGGCAAUUUCUCCAUGGCGAACUAGCCGUUGUGACCAAAAACUUCUCCGAGGACCAAAAACUCAGAGGAGGUGGCUUCGGGUCGGUGUACAUGAAGGAAAUAUGCCCUAGAGGCAAUAAUAAAGUUGUUAUUUAUAUUUCCUUAUAUCAUGAUAAAUGUUUAUUAUUCAUGCAUGAUAAAUGUUUAUUAUUCAUGCUAGAAUUGUAUUAACCGGAAACUUAGUACAUGUGUGAAUACAUAGACAAACAGUGUCACUAGUAUGCCUCUACUUAACUAGCUCAUUGAAUCAAAGAUUGUUAAGUUUCCUAGCCAUAGAUAUGAGUUGUCAUUUGAUUAACGGGAUCACAUCAUUAGAGAAUGAUGUGAUUGACUUGACCCAUUCCGUUAGCUUAGCACUUGAUCGUUUAGUAUAUUGCUAUUGCUUUCUUCAUGACUUAUACAUGUUCCUAUGACUAUGAGAUUAUGCAACUCCCAAAGACCGGAGGAACAUUUUGUGUGCUACCAAACGUCACAACGUAACUGGGUGAUUAUAAAGGUGCUCUACAGGUGUCUCCGAUGAUGUUUGUUGAGUUGGCAUAGAUCGAGAUUAGGAUUUGUCACUCCGAUUGUCGGAGAGGUAUCUCUGGGCCCUCUAAGUAAUGCACAUCACUAUAAGCCUUGCAAGCAAUGUAACUAAUGAGUUAGUUGGGGGAUGAUGCAUUAUGGAACGAGUAAAGAGACUUGCCGGUAACGAGAUUGAACAAGGUAUUGAGAUACCGACGAUCGAAUCUCGGGCAAGUAACAUACCGAUGACAAAGGGAACAAUGUAUGUUGUUAUACGGUUUGACCGAUAAAGAUCUUCGUAGAAUAUGUGGGAGCCAAUAUGAACAUCCAGGUUCCGCUAUUGGUUAUUGACCGGAGAUGCGUCUCGGUCAUGUCUACAUAGUUCUCGAACCCGUAGGGUCCGCAUGCUUAACGUUCGGUGACGAUCGGUAUUAUGAGUCUAUGUGUUUUGAUGUACCAAAGAUAGUUCGGAGUCCCGGAUGUGAUCACGGACAUGACGAGGAGUCUCGAAAUGGUGGAGACAUAAAGCUUGAUAUAUUGGAUGACUAUAUUCGGACACCGGAUGAGUUCCGGGGGUCACCGGAUAAUUAUCAGAGUGCCGGGGGGUUAUCGGAAACCCCGGGGGAACUAAUGAGCCAACAUGGGCCUUGUGAGAGAGAGGGGGCCUGAGGGCUAGCCGCGCCCCCCCCCUUGAGGAGUCUGAAUUGGACAAGGAGGGGGGCGGCGCCCCCUCUUUCCCUCCCUCUCUCCCUCUCCUUCCUUCCCCCUUCCUCCUCCUAGUUGGACUAGGAAAGGUGGAGUCCUACUCCUACUAGGAGGAGGACUCCUCCCCUCCCUUGGCGCGCCCCUAGGGCCGGCCGGCCUCCUCCUCCUCUCCUUUAUAUAUGGGGUAGGGGGCACCCCAUAGAGACACACAAGUUGAUCAUUGAUCUCUUAGCCGUGUGCGGUGCCCCCCUCCACCAUAAUCCACCUCGGUCAUAUCGUUGCAGUGCUUGGGCGAAGCCCUGCGCCGGUAGCUUCAUCAUCACCAUCAUCACGCCAUCGUGCUGACAAAGCUCUCCCUCGACACUCUGCUGGAUCGUGAGUUCGUGGGACCUCACCGAGCCGAACGUGUGCAGAUCGCGGUGGUGCCGUACAUUCGGUGCUAGGAUCGGUUGAUACGUCUCCAAAGAAUCUAUAAUUUUUGAUUGUUCCAUGCUAUUAUAUAUUCUGUUUUGGAUGUUUAAUGGGCUUAUUUAUACACUUUUAUAUUAUUUUUGGGACUAAUCUAUUAACCGAAGGCCCAGCCCAAAUUGCUGUUUUUUUUUUGCCUAUUUCAGUGUUUCGUAGAAAAAAAAUAUCAAACUGAGUCCAAACGGAAUGAUACCUUCAGGAACAUGAUUUUUGGAACAAACGUGAUCUAGAGGACUUGGAGUGGACGUCAAGGAACCGACGAGGAGGCCACGAGGCAGGGAGGCGCGCCCUCCACCCUCGUGGGCCGUCGUGGCUCCACCGACCUACUUCUUCCUCCUAUAUAUACCUACGUACCCCCAAACCAUCGAAGAGCACCACGAAAACCUAAUUCCACCGCCGCAACCUUCUGUACCCGUGAGAUCCCAUCUUGGGGCCUUUUCCGGCGCUCCGCCGGAGGGGGCAUUGAUCACAGAGGGAUUGACAACGCCUUUAUCGCGUUGGUUGCGAGGUUCUUAUUUGUUUGUGUAGGUGCGUGGGACUCGAGCGUAGCCUCCUACUGGAUUGAUACCUUGGUUCUCAAAAACUGAGAGAAAUACUUACGGUACUUUACUGCAUCACCCUUUCCUCUUCACGGGAAAACCAACGCAGUGCUCAAGAGGUAGUAAGAAAUAUUUCUGGCGCCGUUGCCGGGGAGUCUACUCACAAGUCAAGACAUACCAAGUACCCAUCACAAACUCUUAUCCCUCGCAUUACAUUAUUUGCCAUUUGCCUCUCGUUUUCCUCUCCCCCACUUCACCCUUGCCGUUUUAUUCGCCCUCUUUUUCCGUUCGCCUCUUUUUCGCUUGCCUCUUGUUUGCUUCUGUGUUGAAUUGCUUGCUUGUCACGAUGGCUCAAGACAAUACCAAAUUGUGUGACUUUACCAAUACCAACAACAAUGAUUUUCUUAGCACUCCGAUUGCUCCUCUUCCUGAUGCUGAAUCUUGUGAAGUUAAUGCUGCUUUGCUGAAUCUUGUCAUGAAAGAUCAAUUCGCCGGCCUUCCUAGUGAAGAUGCCGCUACCCAUCUAAAUAGCUUUGUUGAUUUGUGUGAUAUGCAAAAGAAGAAAGAUGUGGACAAUGAUAUUGUUAAAUUGAAGCUAUUUCCUUUUUCGCUUAGAGAUCGUGCUAAAACUUGGUUUUCGUCUUUGCCUAAAAAUAGUAUUGAUUCAUGGAAUAAGUGCAAAGAUGCUUUUAUCUCUAAGUAUUUUCCUCCCGCUAAGAUCAUCUCUCUUAGAAACGAUAUUAUGAAUUUUAAGCAACUUGAUCAUGAACAUGUUGCACAAGCUUGGGAAAGGAUGAAACUAAUGAUACGUAAUUGCCCUAUUCAUGGUUUGAAUUUGUGGAUGAUUAUACAAAAAUUUUAUGCCGGAUUGAAUUUUGCUUCUAGAAAUCUGUUAGAUUCGGCCGCGAGGGGCACUUUUAUGGAAAUCACUUUAGGAGAAGCUACUAAACUCCUAGAUAAUAUUAUGGUUAAUUAUUCUCAAUGGCACACUGAAAGAUCUACUAGUAAAAAUGUGCAUGCGAUAGAAGAAAUUAAUGUUUUGAGUGGAAAGAUGGAUGAACUUAUGAAAUUGUUUGCUAAUAAGAGUGUUUCUUCUGAUCCUAAUGAUAUGCCUUUGUCUACUUUGAUUGAGAAUAAUAGUGAAUCUAUGGAUUUAAAUUCUGUUGGUAGGAAUAAUUUGGGUAACAACGCGUAUAGAGGAAACUUUAAUCCUAGGCCGUUCCCUAGUAAUUCCUCUAAUAAUUAUGGUAAUUCCUACAACAACUCUUAUGGAAAUUUUAAUAAGUUGCCCUCUGAUUUUGAGACUAGUGUUAAAGAGUUUACGAAUUCGCAAAAGAAUUUCAAUGCUUUGCUUGAAGAAAAAUUGCUUAAGGUUGACGAAUUGGCUAGGAACGUGGAUAGAAUUUCUCUUGAUGUUGAUUCUUUGAAACUUAGAUCUAUUCCACCUAAGCAUGAUAUCAAUGAGUCUCUCAAAGCUAUGAGAAUUUCUAUUGAUGAGUGCAAAGAAAGAACCGCUAGGAUGCGUGCUAAGAAAGAUUGCUUUGUGAAGACAUGUUCUUCUAGUUUUUACGAGAAUAAAGAUGAAGAUCCAAAAGUUAUUGAUGUGUCUCCUAUUAAAUCUUUGUUUUGCAAUAUGAAUCUUGAUAAUGACGGGACUGGAGAUGAGUCAACUUUAGUUAGAAGGCAUCCCAAAAAUUCGGAGUUUUUAGAUCUUGAUGCGAAAAUUGAUAAAAGUGGGAGUGAAGAGGUUCAAAUUUUACAUAGCAAUGAUCCCACUAUCUUGGAUUUCAAGGAAUUUAAUUAUGAUAAUUGCUCUUUGAUAGAUUGUAUUUCCUUGUUGCAAUCCGUACUAUAUUCUCCUCAUGCUUAUAGUCAAAAUAAAGCUUUUACUAAACAUAUCGUUGAUGCUUUGAUGCAAUCUUAUGAAGAAAAGCUUGAAUUGGAAGUUUCUAUCCCUAGAAAACUUUAUGAUGAGCGGGAACCUACUGUUAAAAUUAAAAUUAAAGAUCAUGAAUGCUAUGCUUUGUGUGAUUUGGGUGCUAGUGUUUCCACGAUUCCAAAAACUUUGUGUGAUUUGUUAGGUUUCCGUGAAUUUGAUGAUUGUUCUUUAAACUUGCACCUUGCGGAUUCCACCAUUAAAAAACCUAUGGGAAGAAUUAAUGAUGUUCUUAUUGUUGCAAAUAGGAACUAUGUGCCCGUAGAUUUCAUUGUUCUUGAUAUAGAUUGCAAUCCUUCAUGUCCUAUUAUUCUUGGUAGACCUUUCCUUAGAACGAUUGGUGCAAUUAUUGAUAUGAAGGAAGGGAAUAUUAGAUUCCAAUUUCUGCUAAGGAAAGGCAUGGAACACUUCACUAGAAAGAAAGUUAAAUUACCAUAUGAAUCUAUUAUGAGAACCACUUAUGGAUUGCCUACCAAAGAUGGCAAUACCUAGAUCUAUCCUUGUUUUUAUACCUAGCUAGGGGCGUUAAACGAUAGCGCUUGUUGGGAGGCAACCCAAUUUUAUUUUAUUUUUUUGCUUUUUGGUUCUGUUUACGAAUAAAUAGUCCAUCUAGCCUCUGGUUAGAUUUUUGUGUGUGUUUUAAUUAGUGUUUGUGCCAAGUUAAACGUAUAGGAUCUUCUUGGAUGAUAGUUAUUUGAUCUUGCUAAAAAUUCCAGAAACUUUCUGUUCACGAAAACAAUUGUUAAAAAUCACCAGAACGUGAUAAAAUACUGAUUCCAAUUGCAGUACAUCAAUAAACAAAUUAUCUAGGUGUUCCUACUUUUGUAGAUUUUUCUGAGUUCCAGAAGUUUGCGUUAGUUACAGAUUACUAAAGACUGUUCUGUUUUUGACAGAUUCUGUUUUUCGCGUGUUGUUUGCUUAUUUUGAUGAAUCUAUGGCUAGUAAAAGAGCUUAUAAACCAUAGAGAAGUUGGAAUAAAGUAGGUUUAACACCAAUAUAAAUAAAUAAAGAGUUCAUUACAGUACCUUGAAGUGGUGUUUUGUUUUCUUUCGCUAACGGAGCUCACUAGAUUUUCUGUUCAGUUUUGUGUUGUGAAGUUUUCAAGUUUUGGGUAAAGAUUUGAUGGAUUAUGGAACAAGGAUUGGCAAGAGCCUAAUCUUGGUGAUGCCCAAGGAACCCCAAGGUAAAAUCCAAGGACAACCAAAAGCCUAAGCUUGGGGAUGCCCCGGAAGGCAUCCCCUCUUUCCUCUUCGUCUAUCGGUAACUUUACUUGGGGCUAUAUUUUUAUUCAUCACAUGAUAUGUGUUUUGCUUGGAGCAUCUUGUAUGAUUUGAGUCUUUGCUUUUUAGUUUACCACAAUCAUCCUUCCUGUACACACCUUUUGAGAGAGACACACAUGAUUCGGAAUUUGUUAGAAUACUCUAUGUGCUUCACUUAUAUCUUUUGAGCUAUAUAGUUUUUGCUCUAGUGCUUCACUUAUAUCUUUUAGAGCACGGUGGUGGUUUUGUUUUAUUGAAAUUAUUGAUCUCCCAUGCUUAACUUAUAUUAUUUUGAGAGUCCUACAAAACAGCAUGGUAAUUUGCUUAAAUUGUGAAAUUAGUCCUAAUAUGAUAGGCAUCCAAGAUUAGUAAAAACUUUCUUAUAAGUGCAUUGAAUACUAAGAGAAGUUUGAUGCUUGAUAAUUGUUUUGACAUAUGAAGAUGAUGAUAUUAGAGUCGUCGUGCUAGUUGGGUAGUUGUGAAUUUGAGAAAUACUUGUGUUAAAGUUUGUGAUUCCCGUAGCAUGCAUGUAUGGUGAACCAUUAUGCGAUGAAGUCGGAGCAUGAUUUAUCUAUUGAUUGUCUUCCUUACGAGUGGCAAUCAGGGACGAGCGAUGGUCUUUUCCUACCAAUCUAUCCCCCUAGGAGCAUGCGCGUAAUACUUCGUUUCGAUAACUAAUAGAUUUUUGCAACAAGUAUGUGAGUUCUUUAUGACUAAUGUUGAGUGCAUGGAUUAUACGGACUCUCACCCUUCCACCAUUGCUAGCCUCUCUAAUACCGCACACUUUUCGCCGGUAUCAUACACCCACCAUUACCUUCCUCAAAACAGCCACCAAAGCUACCUAUUAUGGCAUUUCCAUAGCCAUUCCGAGAUAUAUUGCCAUGCAACUUACCACCGUUCCGUUUACUAUGACACGCUCCAUCAUUGUCAUAUUGCUUUGCAUGAUCAUGUAGUUGACAUCGUAUUUGUGGCAUAGCCACCUUCAUAAUUCUUUCAUACAUGUCACUCUUGAUUCAUUUCAUAUCCCGGUACUCCAACUACAACAGGAACCCCCCUACAGCAACGCAUCGAUGCAUUGUUGUAUGCCCGUAUAAGUGUUGCAAUGGUCUACACCAACGGAUUAAUAUGCAUUUCCAUUGGUGGCGUUGCAAGGGACUACAACAACAUAUAUGCAUCCGUUGGUAAACAACGUCUAGAAACGUUGCUACCUAGCAACGUAUAGGGUUAGAGUCUAACAACACUACAUAUGCGUUGUUGGUCACCGUGCACAAAGGCUUUUCAAAUGGAUAUCCAACCCAAUCCAGCCCAAUAUGGAUUGGGCUUUUCAAAUGGGCAUAUAUAUAAUAUUGCCAUCUAGCCCAAUAUGGGUUGAUCGGUCAACAUUUCUAUUUUCUGUUGGAAAAAAUCUCUACAAUUAUUUGCUGGCUCAAUUCCAUAGAGGCUACUUUUUUCAUUGACCAAGUCAAUUACCCAACACAGGGUAUUUUCACAUCACAUGACAAAUAAUUACUCUAUAACUAUCAAUGCCAAUUCCACAUCACGUUUCAUAGUUCACAUUCCCCAUUAGCCAAAAUAACACAAGCUAUAUACACUAGUAGAAAAAGGGCCAUUUGUCCCGGUUCAUAAGGCCCAUCUGUCCCGGUUGGGGAACCGGGACUAAAGGGUCGUUACUAAUGCCCUUGGCCUUUAGUCCGGUUCUUAUACUAACCGGGACAGAUGGGCCUCCACGUGGCCGCUACGGCGAGCCCAGGCACGAGGGCCUUUGGUCCUGGUUGGUAGCACCAACCGGGACCAAUAAGCUUCCACGCGUCAGCAUUUCAGGGGCUGGUUUUUUUGAAAGGAGGUGGUUUAGGGGUUUUGGGGGUUAACUUAGGUUGGUAUGGGUAGCUAAUAGAGAGAUGUGUCCUCUCUUAUCUCCGUGCUACUGCUACUGCUAUGCCGAAACAUGACUUAGAUUGAAGUGAGGCAACAUGUGGUGCAUGUCGAAAGUAAUACUAAUCCUAACUUGAUCAAGUUUGGAUUGUACUACUUUCGACAUGCACCACAUGCAUGUUGCCUUCACUUCAAUCCAAUCCAUGUUCAUUUCACCCACAGAUAUAUAAUAAUUAACUAUGUUUGAGAAACUCACAUAGCGGUAGAAAUGGAGGCGUAUCAACAAGGACCCAAAUGUCCAUAUUGUCUUGGUCGAUGUCAGGAUCACCAAGAUCAAUGGUGAUAAGCAUACCCUCAUGAAAACCAUACAUCUUGCAAAGUGCUUCCCAAUUUUUGCAACCAAAAUGGGUUACGCUCUCAGAAUUAUACAGAUUUACUUCAAAAUCCACAUCAUGAUGAGUUCUUAGGUGAAUUUUCUUUGUUUCAUAAUUUUCAUGGUCUUCAAAAUCCAUCCUCUAUAGGACAUAGCGUCUUGCAUGGCAUGGGAUAAGCUACUCGAAUUGUAAAAGAUGAAAAUUACAAGUUGAAAUAGUUGAAGUCAUGCUUAAUUACGAGAAAAAACACUUGUCGUCGUUGCGUACCGUUUCAACUUCGAAGGUCUCCUCGAGCUUAAUGCUGAAGCACCGAUCAUCGUCCAGGUGAGGCAUGUCGCACAGACCUCGAUCGUCGUGGCACCAGCUGCACUCCCCCGAGAGACUUUCGUCGUCCGAUGACGACAUUUCCUACGUUCAUAAUUCAAAUAUUAAACUUGUACAAUUAAAUAUAUGUACUACAAAGACUAAAUUAGAUCAUUAUUAUUCAUCACGGGUUGACUAUCGGUCUGUCGAGUCUUUUCUUGAAAACUCUCAGCUCAUGUGGUGUAUACAUUCGACCGUUGGUGAUGGUCGCUCCUCCAUUCUUCCCCGAGUGCAUUACACCAAAAUGUCUAGCACACGGUAACGAAGGAGAAGCGACCCCCACGACAACAGUCGGGAUUCUUCGUCCUCUCAUAUAUAUAUGGUGGAACUCUCCCUCACUGAUUCCUCUCUGACAUUUGUGACCGUCGGUGAUGGUAGCUCCUCCUUUCGUUCCUGAGUGCAUUACACCAAAUUGUCUAGCACACGGGAACGAUGGAGAAGCUACCCCACGACAACAGCCGGGAUUCUUCGUCCUCUCAUAUAUGGUGGAGACUCGACAGACUUAAAGUGAACCCGAAAUAUCGUUUAAUUAUCUUUCUAAAAAAGGAUUUGGCUGGUCUCACCUCGAGGUCGGAGGGGGUCGGUGACAGGGACGACGGCGGGGAUGAUGGAGGGGGGCUCCUAGAUUUCCGCGACAACAAAAACCCUAUAAGCUAUCAACUAAUCAUAUGCAUACGCCUUGCAUAGUGCUCUCCAAUUUUAGCAUUCAAAGUAGGAGUAGUUUUCCAAUUUGAGUAUUCAAUAAGCAAAACCAAAUCAUAAAAUUAAGUAGUAUUCAAAUUAGCAUGCAUUCAAUUAUAAGCAAAACUACAUCAUCUCUUGCGUCCGUACAUCGUCGAAUAUUAUCACUAAUACACCUCGAAUACUAUCAUACAUAUAGCAUCGCUAGUACAGCUAGAACCGUAGCGCCCGACGGGUAUCGGCGCGGGCGGUGGACACCCAAAGGGAAGGAACCAUCACAUGAUCAUAGCUCCAGUAAGAUCCCUGAAGAACCUGCCAGGUAUUGUCGAACCUGCCCUCCAACGCAACCAUGUAGCGACGGACAUGUUCGUCCUCCUCGCUGACACGGUGACGUACCACCUCCGCGGUGUCCGGAAGCCUAGGCACCGUCACUGGCCCACGCGACCGCCACCAAACUAGGAUCGGGUCAACGAUGGGCUGGCUCCUCACAAACCUACGCCCCCCGGAAGGAAGCACCUCCCAAUACCAGCCCGGCGGAGCCCAGUCCCGGACAUGGCCCCUCUGAUCAAGCCGGCCUCCUCCGCCGAGUCGACGACGAGGAUGUGGGAUAGGCAUCGUCGAUGUCGAUGAGGGAAUAAUUGCUUGAACUAAAAAAAAUAAACUAGUUCUAUUAAUUUUCUUGCUAAAAAUAAACUACUUCAAUAUAUAGUAAAAUAAAGUAGUUUUAUUAAAUCAACUAGUUCAACUACUAAGCACUUACUAUAAAUAAAAUAAAGUAGUACUUACUAAAAAUAAACAACUUCUAUAUAUAGUAAAAUAAAGUAGUUUUAUUAAAUCAACUAGUUCAACUACUAAGCACUUAAUUUUACUUUUUCCUCUACACUAACCUAAAAUGCACUAACCUAAAAUCGAUAUCUACUAACAAUAACCUAAUAAAAAAUUAAUACAUAUAUGAAAAAAAUAUAAACAAAAAAUGCUAUGAACAUUAUAUUCAUACAUACAUAGCCACGUCCAUUCAUCAUAUAGCUACCACAUACAUAUAUACAUUAUAUAUAUGAAAAAAAUGUAAUGAACAAAAAAAUAAUACACAGUAUAUGAAAAAAAGCACUGAAAAACAGAGCUGUGGCGGCGGCAGCUCACAUCGGGGGCGGCCGGCGAGGGCGACGGCGGGGGCGGCGAUGGUGUCGNNNNNNNNNNNNNNNNNNNNNNNNNNNNNNNNNNNNNNNNNNNNNNNNNNNNNNNNNNNNNNNNNNNNNNNNNNNNNNNNNNNNNNNNNNNNNNNNNNNNNNNNNNNNNNNNNNNNNNNNNNNNNNNNNNNNNNNNNNNNNNNNNNNNNNNNNNNNNNNNNNNNNNNNNNNNNNNNNNNNNNNNNNNNNNNNNNNNNNNNNNNNNNNNNNNNNNNNNNNNNNNNNNNNNNNNNNNNNNNNNNNNNNNNNNNNNNNNNNNNNNNNNNNNNNNNNNNNNNNNNNNNNNNNNNNNNNNNNNNNNNNNNNNNNNNNNNNNNNNNNNNNNNNNNNNNNNNNNNNNNNNNNNNNNNNNNNNNNNNNNNNNNNNNNNNNNNNNNNNNNNNNNNNNNNNNNNNNNNNNNNNNNNNNNNNNNNNNNNNNNNNNNNNNNNNNNNNNNNNNNNNNNNNNNNNNNNNNNNNNNNNNNNNNNNNNNNNNNNNNNNNNNNNNNNNNNNNNNNNNNNNNNNNNNNNNNNNNNNNNNNNNNNNNNNNNNNNCUCGGGGGCGGCGGAGGGCGACGGCGUGGGCUCGGGGGCGGAGGACGGCGUCGACGUGGGCUCGGGGGCACGGGCGACGGCGACGGGGCAGCCUGGCGGCGUCGAGGAGGUCGGCGUCGUCGGGCGGCAACUAGCGAUGGAAUGUGAAAAAAUGCUAAGUGCUGGCUUAUAUAGGAAAGGCUUUAGUCCCGGUUCGUGGCAACAACCGGGACCAAAGCCCCCCUUUAGUCCUGGUUUGUGCCACCAACCGGGACCAAAGGCCUCUUUUCAGCAGCCCAAAGGGCGGGAAGCAGAGGCCUUUGGUCCCGGUUGGAGGCACCAACCGGGACUAAAGGGGGGCUUUGGUACCGGUUCGUGGCGCCAACCCGGACCAAUGCCCCACUUUAGUCGCGGUUGCUGCUACCAACCGGGACCAAAGGCCUGCGCCUGCCAAAGCCGCGGUGCGGUGGGAUGUUUAGUCCCACCUCGCUAGCCGAGGAGCGGCAGGACCUGUUUAUAAGCCCUACCCUGCCAUCUCCAUUGAACUCAUCUGAAUUACAGGCCUCUGGGCCUAAUCUCGCACUGCUAUGCCUGUGGGCCUGCUGGGCCUUCUGCGGGCCUGAAUCCUGGACCAUGGAUGGGUUUCUAGUCGUAUUCAGGCCAUGUGGCCCAGUAGGUGGCUUUUUUUAUUUUUUCCUAGUUUAUUUCUUUUAUUUUUUUCUUUAUUUAUUUUAUUUUGUUUCUACUUACAACAAAAUACUUAUUUAUUUUAUUUUAUUUUAUUUCUAAUUACUUAUUUAUUUUAUUUUAUGAUAAUUCUUUUUGCUAUUAAAGUUUCUAACAAAAAAAGUUCUUUAUGGNNNNNNNNNNNNNNNNNNNNNNNNNNNNNNNNNNNNNNNNNNNNNNNNNNNNNNNNNNNNNNNNNNNNNNNNNNNNNNNNNNNNNNNNNNNNNNNNNNNNNNNNNNNNNNNNNNNNNNNNNNNNNNNNNNNNNNNNNNNNNNNNNNNNNNNNNNNNNNNNNNNNNNNNNNNNNNNNNNNNNNNNNNNNNNNNNNNNNNNNNNNNNNNNNNNNNNNNNNNNNNNNNNNNNNNNNNNNNNNNNNNNNNNNNNNNNNNNNNNNNNNNNNNNNNNNNNNNNNNNNNNNNNNNNNNNNNNNNNNNNNNNNNNNNNNNNNNNNNNNNNNNNNNNNNNNNNNNNNNNNNNNNNNNNNNNNNNNNNCUAUAAUACUAGAGGUUGCUUAUAAUGUUUUGAAUAGAAAAUACAUUGAUAAUUUUAGUUUCAUAAAUUUUAUUUAUGUUAUUAAAGUUUAUUUUAUUUUAUUUUAUUUUGUUUCUACUUAUAUAUUUUAUUAAAAUUUAUUUUAUUCUGUUUCUAAUUACUUAUUUAUUUUAUUUUAUGAUAUUUGUUAUUUUCUAUGCAUUUACUGAUUAUUUUGAGCUAUAAGACCCUGAAAUUGAAAAGCAGUACAAAUGAACUCUGGAAAGGUUGAAAGUUGGUAUGGUAUCAUCAUUUCAUCCACAUAGCAUGUGCAAGAAAGUAAAGAGGGUUACGGCAAAAAUUGGAUGCACUUCGUGUACAAAACGGACAAUCUCUUUCGAAGUAUCAGGGUUUCAUACGGAAACUCGUCUGUUACAAAGGGAUUUCAUUUUUUAGAACUUAUUUGAACUCCAUAGUUUUUCUGUGUUCAACAUGCACCAUUCAAAGCCACAUCAUCAAUUUUCAACCCUUUCUGACUUCAUUUGUUAUUUUCCAUGCAUUUACUGAUUAUUUUGAGCUAUAAGACCAUGAAAUUGAAAAGCACUACAAAUGAACUCUGAAAAGGUUGAAAGUUGGCAUGGUAUCAUCAUUUCACCCACAUAGCAUGUGCAAGAAAGUAGAGAGGGUUACGGCAAAAAAUGGACGCACUUCGUGUACAAAACGGACGAUCUGAUUCGAAGUAUCAGGAAUUCAUACGGAAACUCGUCUGUUACAACAGGAAUUUCAAAUGAACUAUGAAAAGGUUGAAAGUUGGCAUGGUAUCAUCAUAAUAGUUGUGAGAGAAAGUCUUCACUUUUUUUCGAUUGUGUGCUUUGCUUAUUGCGCCGUAACCAUGGAUAAUCUUCAUCGUUUAUCAGGAUGCUUGGGUCAGCCUUGACUUUGAAGGGAGGAAUUUCAUGAAACUUUUCAUAAUCUUCAGACAUGUCUGUCUUGCCCUCCACUCCCACGAUGUCCCUUUUUCCUGAAAGAACUAUGUGGCGCUUUGGCUCAUCGUAUGAUGUAUUCGCUUCCUUAUCUUUUCUUUUUCUCGGUUUGGUAGACAUGUCCUUCACAUAGAUAACCUGUGCCACAUCAUUGGCUAGGACGAACGGUUCGUCAGUGUACCCAAGAUUGUUCAGAUCCAUUGUUGUCAUUCCGUACUGUGGGUCUACCUGUACCCCGCCUCCUGACAGAUUGACCCAUUUGCACUGAAACAAAGGGACCUUAAAAUCAUGUUUGUAGUCAAGUUCCCAUAUGUCCACUAUGUAACCAUAAUAUGUGUCCUUUCCCCUCUCGGUUGCUGCAUCAAAGCGGACACCGUUGUUUUGGUUGGUGCUCUUUUGAUCUUGGACGAUCGUGUAAAAUGUAUUCCCAUUUAUCUCGUAUCCUUUGUAAGUCCAUACAGUCGAAGAUGGUCCCCUGGACAACGAGUACAGCUCAUCACAAACAGUGUUGUCACCUAUGAGACGUGUUUCCGACCAACUGCUGAAAGUCCUGAUGUGUUCACAUGUAAUCCAGUCGUCACACUGCUCCGGGUGUUUGGAGCGCAGACUGUUCUUGUGUUCACCGACAUACGGGGUCACCAAGGUAGAGUUCUGUAGAACUGUGUAGUGUGCUUGAGACCAAGAAUGCCCGUCCCUGCAUAUUAUCGAGUCCGCUCCUAGCAUGCCUUUUCCAGUCAGUCUCCCAUCAUACCGCGAUUUAGGGAGACCUAUCUUCUAAAGGCCAGGAAUGCACUACGGGAAACAGUUAAUUUGCCAUCUGGCGAGUACAGACGGCAAAGAGCGAAAUACAGACGGCAAAGAGUUUGCCGUCAGCCGGCUGACGGCAAACAUAGACGGCGAAGAGGGUCGCGGCAAAGGCUGCUUUGCCGUCAGCUUUUCAUCGGGCAGACGGCAAAGAAUUUGCCGACAACCAACUACAGAUUUGCCGUCUGCCGCAAAAAUAACAGAUGGCAAAGUAUGCACUCUUUGCCGUGAGGCAAAACGUCUUCUUGCCAUCAUCCGGACCAAAAUACAGACGGCGAAGAUUGUAUUUUAUUAAAAAAAAAUACGCCAGUCAAAUCGUUCACAGGGUGGCUGCUGCUUCCGUGGUCACCGGAGUUGCCAACUCCGGCAACUUCUGCCACUACUGGAGGAGCUCUGGCGCUUGGGGCAGAGAUGAGGAGGCUGGGGAGUCUCCGGCGCGGCGUGGUCUGGCGAGGGGCGGCCACGGCAGCGUCCGGUCUCCGGUGAGGUCUGGUGAGGGACGGCCGCGGCGGGGUCCGAUGAGUGACAGCUGCGGUGUGGUCCGGCGAGGGGCGGCCGUGGUGGAGUCCGGUGAGGGAUGGCCGUGGCUGGGUCCGGCGAGGGGCGGCCGUGGCGGGGUCCGGUGAGGGAUGGCCGUGGCUGGGUCCGGCGAGGGGCGGAAAGAAAGAGGGUGGGGAGUCUCGAGCGCAGCGGGCUCCGGCGUGGGGCAGCCGCAGAGUAGUUUGGCGAGGGUCAGCCACAUGCGUACNNNNNNNNNNNNNNNNNNNNNNNNNNNNNNNNNNNNNNNNNNNNNNNNNNNNNNNNNNNNNNNNNNNNNNNNNNNNNNNNNNNNNNNNNNNNNNNNNNNNNNNNNNNNNNNNNNNNNNNNNNNNNNNNNNNNNNNNNNNNGCGGCGGCGGUUGACCUGCCGCACUGGUCGCCUGGCCGGCGCGUGAUGCCCGCCGGCGCUGGUGCCCGCCUGGACGAGGGGAGUCCGGGGAGGAGGUGAGAGCUCGGGCGGCGCAGAGGCAUGCGUGCGGGAGGGGGUGCGCGAGAGGCAGCAGACCGCGCCAGAGGCGGGCGACGGCGAUGCGCCGGCCGGAGGGAGCACGGGCGGGGGCCUCUCGGGGGGAGCACGGGCGCGGGCCACUCGGUGGGAUUUGUGGCCGUCGUGGGUGAGAGGACGGGCGAGCUGGGUGGGGCCAUCCGGUUGUGUCUGUGGGUGGACAGAGAAAGAGAACGUGGGGAGAGAGAGAGGACGUGGGGGCGUGCAAGAGAUGCGGGAUACAGCGAGUGGUAAGGAUCAUGCCACCUCAUCGAUCCAUGAGAUCGAUCCGCGAGGUGUGUUUCUUCUUUGCCAUCUGUGUUUUCUAUUACAGACGGCAAAGAGCAUAUUUUGCUGUCUAUAAUAUCUUUGCCGUCUGUGUUUUAUAUUAUAGAUGGCAAAACAUGCUCUUUGCCGUCUGUAACAAAAAAGCAGACGGCAAAGAUCUUUGCCGUCUGUGUUUUAUAUUAUGCAGUCAUUAGGGCAUUCAUGUAUCUUCUCCACCUCCAAUCCUAGAGGGCAUACGACCUUCUUUGCUGCGUACGUACUAUCGGGCAAUUCGUUAUCCUUUGGAAGCUUCUUCUUCAAUAUUUUCAGUAGCUUCUCAAAUCCUUUGUCAGGCACAGCAUUCUCUACCUUCCACUGCAGCAAUUCCAGUACGGUACCGAGCUUUGUGUUGCCAUCUUCGCAAUUGGGGUACAACCCUUUUUUGUGAUCCUCUAACAUGCGAUCGAACUUCAGCUUCUCCUUUUCACUUUCGCACUUUUCCCUUGCAUCAACAAUGACCCGGCGGAGAUCAUCAUCGGGCACAUCGUCUGGUUCCACAUGAUCUUCAGCUUCCUCUUGAUAUUCAGCUUCCCCCAUUGCAGCAUCACCAUAUUCAGGGGGCACAUAGUUGUCAUCAUCCUUUUCUUCUUCGCUGUCUUCCAUCAUAACCCCUAUUUCUCCAUGCUUCGUCCAAACAUUAUAGUGUGGCAUGAAACCCUUAUAAAGCAGGUGGGUGUGAGGGAUUUUCUUGUCAGAGUAAGACCUCGUAUUCCCACAAUCAGGGCAUGGACAACACAUAAAACCACUCUGCUUGUUUGCCUCAGCCACUUCGAGAAAUUUAUGCACGCCCUUAAUGUACUCGGAGGUGUGUCUGUCACCGUACAUCCAUUGCCGGUUCAUCUGUGUGCAUUAUAUAUAAUUAUGUGUGUCAAAAGUAAGAAAAUUAGACAAGUAUCUAUCUAAAGUAAGAUUUUUUUUCUUUCAGAAAGAAGAUAAGAACAAGAGGCUCACAACAGUGGUGCCGGCGACGAGAUCGGCGCGGGCGAUCGACGGCGGUGAAGACAAGGACGGGGCGUGACAGACCGCUAAACCUAGACAAAUCUCGGAAAAAAUGGAGCUCGGAGGUCGAGCUUUGAGUGGAGAAAGCUUAACUAGUGUGGCUCGGGCAUUUCAUCGAACACCUCACAAGCAUAAGAGGUGAGCUAGAGCACGCAAAUGCCCUUCCUCGCCGGCCAGCAAAAAACAGAGCACUGUGGAGUGCUCUGCUCACCGGCGAUGGGGUAUAUAUAGGCAACUCAUUUGUCCCGGUUCGUGGGUGGAACCGGGACUAAAGGCCAUCCUUCUGUCCCAGUUCCUGCCACAAACCGGGACCAAUGGUUAUGGGCCAGGAGCGAGGUCCAUUGGUCCCGGUUCGUGCCAAGAACCGGGACAAAUGGGCCCAGACGAACCGUGACCAAUGCCCACGAGGCCCCGGCCGGCCCCCUGGGCUCACGAACCGGGACAAAUGCCUCCAUUGGUCCCGGUUCGUGGCAGAACCGGGACUAAUGGGCUGGCCAGGCCCGAACGAAAGCCCCUUUUUCUACUAGUGAUAUCAACCUGAUACAACAUGUAGCAUCAACAGACACUAAGAAAUAUAUUAACAAAUGAGUGUUCUCUUAACUCUCAAACACAAUUGUAUAGCUCUCCUCUUCAAAGUUACAUUUGCUGGAGGCCCUUUCUCAUGGCAUCUUGAAGGCAGCUAGGAUUGCUUUGGUCUUUAUUUGUCCAUCCCAACUUCUUGAAAGAUGAGUUGCAUAUCAUCCCAUCAAAAGAAUAGGGCUAGAAUCUGCAACAAAGAUGUAAACAUAUCAGUAAGCAUGAGUUACAAAAAUAUAUCUACCAUUGCAAAAAAAAUCUGAGUUUGGAAUUAACCAUGUUCUCAUUACUGUAGCUUAUAUAAAUAUUACCUAACAAAAUACUACUUUUCAUAAUGUUCAUGAUGACAUUUUACAUAUGCUGAUAAGAGAACCAUAUCCAAAUGAAAAUGAUAAAUAAAGUUAGUGGCUCGAGAUAUCACUUUAUCAGCUAAUCAGAACAAAAGAAGCCAUGAUCUUCCUCACACAAACCACCAAGAUCAUUACCAUCAGGGAUCUGCUUGUCAAAUCAGGCACCAAAUUUCCAAAGCAAGCAUCACUAUGCCUCGAUAACCAUAGCUUGCCCCCCCUCUCCCCCCAAAGAUCAACCAAAAGAUUUAUCAACAUGUGUAUGUUAAGAAUAUGGUCAUCAUGACAGAAAGGCAGUCUAUGUUUUGUCUGAACUCUAAUACACACAUAUAUAGUAAAGACAACAAAUUCAUUAUUGUUGCAAAUGAGGUGAUCAUUGUUGAUUGAGUUCUAUAAUGAAUUCUGCCAUCGUCGUAGUUUUCGCUGUAAUUGACUCUUCCCCUGUCCUUGCACACUCAAUAUUGUGUGAUUUAUUAUGUCAUCUUGUCACAAGGUUUUUUUUUG